Molecule: ribosomal RNA, 253 nt
Filed under: uncultured bacterium
Lineage: Bacteria
Description: partial 16S ribosomal RNA
Rfam family: Bacterial small subunit ribosomal RNA
Source: RNAcentral
UACAGAGGUCCCAAGCGUUGUUCGGAUUCACUGGGCGUAAAGGGUGCGUAGGUGGCGAGGUAAGUCGGAUGUGAAAGCUCGGAGCUCAACUCCGAAAUGGCAUUGGAAACUACCUUGCUCGAGGGUUGGAGGGGGGACUGGAAUGCUUGGUGUAGCAGUGAAAUGCGUAGAUAUCAAGCGGAACACCAGUGGCGAAGGCGAGUCCCUGGACAACUCCUGACACUGAGGCACGAAAGCGAGGGGAGCAAACAGG